This 433-nucleotide ribosomal RNA is filed under the name uncultured bacterium. RNAcentral's name for it is "partial 16S ribosomal RNA". It matches the Rfam family "Bacterial small subunit ribosomal RNA", at positions 29 to 507 of the family's 1533-position model. The record is from RNAcentral.
AACGAACGCUGGCGGCAUGCCUAACACAUGCAAGUCGAACGAGACCUACCGGUCCCGCGGCGCACGGGCGCGUAACGCGCGGGAAACUGCCCUUAGGUGCGGAAUAACUUCCCGAGACGGGUGCUAAUAUCGUACAACGUCAUCGGACCAAGGAUUUAUCGCCUUUGGAUGGGCCCGCGUCGGAUUAGCUAGUUGGUAGGGUAAAAGCCUACCAAGGCGACGAACCAUAGCUGGUCUGAGAGGAUGAUCAGCCACACUGGGACUGAGACACGGCCCAGACUCGUACGGGAGGCAGCAGUGGGAAAUAUUGAACAAUGGACGAAAGCCUGAGCCAGAAGGGCCGCGUGAGUGAUGAAGGCCUUAGGGUGGUAAAGCUCUGUUACCCGGGAUGAUAAUGACAGUACCGGGAGAAUAAGCACCGGCUAACUCCGUG